AAGUUAUAACCACAACCAAGCAUAAACCAAAGAGUAAAUCAAACUUUUAUCCAUGUUUAUAACUCUCUUUAACCGUCAUGCAAUUACAAACCGAAUCCUCAUCAUUGUGUUGGAAGGUACCCUAAGACACAAACAAACACACAAAAACGACUCUUUUUGGGUUUUUUAAAACAAAUUUUUCAAAUUUUUAUGGGAUUUUCGGAUUUUUGACUCAACAUACAUUAAAACACACCAAAACAGCUUAAAAAGGCUUAAAAACAGCAAGAAACAACAUUUGAAAUUAUGAGUGAUAAACCCUACGAAUUUGCAUCAAAACACUUUGGUUACCCCCCCACACUUAAAUCAAACAUUGUCCUCAAGGUUUCAAGCAUAGACUCACACAAAUAACAAACAAACAAACAAAACAACCUCUAAACAACCUAACAUA
RNAcentral lists this long non-coding RNA (427 nucleotides) under Malus domestica (apple). RNAcentral describes it as "long non-coding RNA (MDOM_LNC002983)". The record is from RNAcentral. Lineage: Eukaryota; Viridiplantae; Streptophyta; Magnoliopsida; Rosales; Rosaceae.